Long non-coding RNA from Ornithodoros turicata, 1292 nucleotides. RefSeq lists it as uncharacterized. The transcript has 3 exons. The record is from RefSeq and is a predicted model, not a curated record. NCBI's taxonomy places the organism in Eukaryota, Metazoa, Arthropoda, Arachnida, Ixodida, Argasidae.
GUCGACAACGGCGGCGCUCGGACAUAAUAUGCUCCGCUUGUUUUCAUGGCUUGUUCGCUUCAAUACGUGGUUGUUCUACCAUGUUGCUGUUGAAGUUCUCUGCCUACGACGUUGGUUGCUAUGCGCGAUUUCAGUGACAUGGCGGGUCAAUGACAUGGCACAAGAAAUGCCGGUGAAGUGACGUCCGGAAACUGUCGCGGCAAGAGUUUCGCACUGCGAUCCCCUGCGAUUCCGUCAGCCCACUACAUUUUGUGCCGAAAUUGUAUAGUGGGGUUUUUAAUAGUGAGUUUUAGUAUACCGUUGAUAAAGUUAUCGUCUCUAUCGGAACCAAUCGCACUCGUGCGUGACUCAGAAUCUUAUCCACUGAUUGGUUCCGGUUGAUACGGUGAGACGCUAGCCACGUUAUCAACGGUCUGCUAAAACACUCUAAUGAAGCACAACGAACACGACAGCUUGUUUAUAAGAUCAGACGUGCUUAAAUGCAUGCAAUGCACAGCGGCACUGACAGAAAUUAAUCAUAAUCUACUCACAAGAUAUUGCUGUAAAUAAGUUGCAAGCUAAUAAAACAGGUGGAACACAUUGCCAACUUGGUCUUGCAAGAAAAGACCACGUGCUUGGAUGGCCAGAAAUCGACCCACAGUCCUCCAAUAUGUAUUAUCAUGGUUGGCCCACGGUUCAAGCAAGCCUUCUUCCGUUUCUCUGUCGUAGAAAGGAGACAGGUCCUGCAGUGCCUAUGCGACCAUGCCGAAGUGGAGUACAUAUUUCCCGAACAGUCCCAGCAUUUCAAGAAUCGUCUCACUACGGUGCUCAAAGUCAUGCGCGAACAUCCCAACAAGUCAGUGACGGAGGUCUCGCGCUUCCUCGGAUUGUCCAAGUCGCUCGUAUAUAGGAUGCUCAAGGACACGGUUAUUCGUGUCAGGAGAAAAAUGGCUACCGCACGGAGAUGAGGUUGCGCUGGUGGAGGGGGGAAAAUGGUCCGUGUGCAAAGCAAGCAGCAGUGGAUUUGUGCAAUUUGUUGGUAAUUAUUCUUGGUCACUUACGGCACUUUCAUAUAAAUGACCAAGCAUCUGGAACUCAGCCAGAGGAAGCUGUUUCGGCAAUUUAGUUCGUUAGGCUCGCAGCUUGUGUUAUGUAUUCAACGUCGAAAGCUAUUGGAUGCAGGUCAUCUGCAAAGAGGCCUUAGGUAAAUUCGUCUUCUUUGAGGAGGGAGCUCAACUCAAAAGUGGGCCCCCCUACAUGAAGGCAUAUGCAGCUACCUAGAAUUAGUUAAUAAAAGUUCACAUUCUGCUUCA